GACGAACGCUGGCGGCGUGCUUAACACAUGCAAGUCGAACGGAAAGGCCCUGCUUUUGUGGGGUGCUCGAGUGGCGAACGGGUGAGUAACACGUGAGUAACCUGCCCUUGACUUUGGGAUAACUUCAGGAAACUGGGGCUAAUACCGGAUAGGAGCUCCUGCUGCAUGGUGGGGGUUGGAAAGUUUCGGCGGUUGGGGAUGGACUCGCGGCUUAUCAGCUUGUUGGUGGGGUAGUGGCUUACCAAGGCUUUGACGGGUAGCCGGCCUGAGAGGGUGACCGGCCACAUUGGGACUGAGAUACGGCCCAGACUCCUACGGGAGGCAGCAGUGGGGAAUAUUGCACAAUGGGCGGAAGCCUGAUGCAGCAACGCCGCGUGCGGGAUGACGGCCUUCGGGUUGUAAACCGCUUUCGCCUGUGACGAAGCGUGAGUGACGGUAAUGGGUAAAGAAGCACCGGCUAACUACGUGCCAGCAGCCGCGGUGAUACGUAGGGUGCGAGCGUUGUCCGGAUUUAUUGGGCGUAAAGGGCUCGUAGGUGGUUGAUCGCGUCGGAAGUGUAAUCUUGGGGCUUAACCCUGAGCGUGCUUUCGAUACGGGUUGACUUGAGGAAGGUAGGGGAGAAUGGAAUUCCUAGUGGAGCGGUGGAAUGCGCAGAUAUCAGGAGGAACACCAGUGGCGAAGGCGGUUCUCUGGGCCUUUCCUGACGCUGAGGAGCGAAAGCGUGGGGAGCGAACAGGCUUAGAUACCCUGGUAGUCCACGCUGUAAACGGUGGGUACUAGGUGUGGGGUCCAUUCCACGGGUUCCGUGCCGUAGCUAACGCUUUAAGUACCCCGCCUGGGGAGUACGGCCGCGAGGCUAAAACUCAAAGGAAUUGACGGGGCCCCGCACAAGCGGCGGAGCAUGCGGAUUAAUUCGAUGCAACGCGUAGAACCUUACCUGGGUUUGACAUGGAUCGGGAGUGCUCAGAGAUGGGUGUGCCUCUUUUGGGGUCGGUUCACAGGUGGUGCAUGGCUGUCGUCAGCUCGUGUCGUGAGAUGUUGGGUUAAGUCCCGCAACGAGCGCAACCCUUGUUCACUGUUGCCAGCACGUUAUGGUGGGGACUCAGUGGAGACCGCCGGGGUCAACUCGGAGGAAGGUGGGGAUGACGUCAAGUCAUCAUGCCCCUUAUGUCCAGGGCUUCACGCAUGCUACAAUGGCUGGUACAGAGAGUGGCGAGCCUGUGAGGGUGAGCGAAUCUCGGAAAGCCGGUCUCAGUUCGGAUUGGGGUCUGCAACUCGACCUCAUGAAGUCGGAGUCGCUAGUAAUCGCAGAUCAGCAACGCUGCGGUGAAUACGUUCCCGGG
This 1343-nucleotide ribosomal RNA is filed under the name uncultured bacterium. RNAcentral's name for it is "16S ribosomal RNA". It matches the Rfam family "Bacterial small subunit ribosomal RNA", at positions 28 to 1378 of the family's 1533-position model. The record is from RNAcentral.